RNAcentral lists this ribosomal RNA (844 nucleotides) under Stilbochaeta cangshanensis. RNAcentral's name for it is "partial large subunit ribosomal RNA". It matches the Rfam family "Eukaryotic large subunit ribosomal RNA", at positions 65 to 943 of the family's 3401-position model. The record is from RNAcentral. Lineage: Eukaryota; Fungi; Ascomycota; Sordariomycetes; Chaetosphaeriales; Chaetosphaeriaceae.
CCAACAGGGAUUGCCUUAGUAACGGCGAGUGAAGCGGCAACAGCUCAAAUUUGAAAUCUGGCCUUGGCCCGAGUUGUAAUUUGCAGAGGAUGCUUCUGGUGCGGUGCCUUCCAAGUCCCCUGGAACGGGGCGCCAAAGAGGGUGAGAGCCCCGUCUGGUUGGACGCCAAUCCUGUGUGAAGCUCCUUCGACGAGUCGAGUAGUUUGGGAAUGCUGCUCUAAAUGGGAGGUAGACCCCUUCUAAAGCUAAAUAUUGGCCAGAGACCGAUAGCGCACAAGUAGAGUGAUCGAAAGAUGAAAAGCACUUUGAAAAGAGGGUUAAACAGUACGUGAAAUUGUUGAAAGGGAAGCGCUUGUGACCAGACGUGCGCCGGGUGUUCAGCGGGCGUUCUCGCCCGUGUAUUCGCCCCGGCGCAGGCCAGCGUCGGUUCGGAUGGGGGGAUAAAGGCGUUGGGAAUGUGGCUCCCUCGGGAGUGUUAUAACCCAGCGUGCCAUGCCCCCGUCUGGACCGAGGUUCGCGCUCUGCAAGGACGCUGGCGUAAUGGUCCCCAGCGGCCCGUCUUGAAACACGGACCAAGGAGUCGAGGUUUUGCGCGAGUGUUUGGGUGUCAAACCCGCACGCGUAAUGAAAGUGAACGCAGGUGGGAGCUUCGGCGCACCACCGACCGAUCCUGAUGUUCUCGGAUGGAUUUGAGUAGGAGCGUAGGGCCUCGGACCCGAAAGAUGGUGAACUAUACUUGGAUAGGGUGAAGCCAGAGGAAACUCUGGUGGAGGCUCGCAGCGGUUCUGACGUGCAAAUCGAUCGUCAAAUCUGAGUAUGGGGGGCGAAAGACUAAUCGAACCAU